Molecule: long non-coding RNA, 343 nt
Organism: Etheostoma cragini (Arkansas darter)
Lineage: Eukaryota; Metazoa; Chordata; Actinopteri; Perciformes; Percidae
Exons: 2
Source: RefSeq, a predicted model, not a curated record
CCCAGCUCAGACACCGUACUUCCUGAUGUGGGUGUGGACAACAGAUGACUACACAAAUAAUGGAGGAUAAGCUACACUAGUCAGCUUCUUCCAAGUUAGAAAAAAAUAGUUAAAAAUCGGAUCAGUUCCUUAUUCCCUUUCCUGGUUUGCGAUUGUAGCUGUGAUGCUUUAUCAGAAUGGGAAAUCUUUUUGGAAAAAAGAAACAAACUCGAGUGACAGAACAAGACAAAGCGGUUUUGCAACUGAAGCAGCAGCGAGAUAAGCUGCGUCAGUAUCAGAAGAGGAUCAGCCUGCAGCUGGAGAAGGAGCGGCUCCUGGCCAAGCAGCUGCUGAGAGAGGGCAA